CUGCCUCUUGGGUUUGCGUGGUUUUUCUGCCUCAGCCUCCUGAGUAGCUAAGGGAGGUGUCUUGAGAUUAUCAUCGGCUGAGGGUGGAAGCGGCCCCCGCAGACGCUCGGCAGGUGUCUUGAGAUUAUCAUCUGCUGAGGGUGGAAGCGGCCCCCGCAGACGCUCGGCAGGUGUCUUGAUAUUAUCAUCUGCUGAGGGUGGAGCUGAGGGUGGAAGGGGAGUGAGCUGACGCUCGGAAGGUGUCUUGAGAUUAUCAUCCGCUGAGGGUGGAAGCGGCCCCCGCAGACGCUCGGCAGGUGUCUUGAUAUUAUCAUCUGCC
RNAcentral lists this long non-coding RNA (319 nucleotides) under Homo sapiens (human). Its description in RNAcentral is "HSALNT0384921". Lineage: Eukaryota; Metazoa; Chordata; Mammalia; Primates; Hominidae. The record is from RNAcentral.